UCCGGUGAGUACAACGGAGAGGCCACACCUGUUCCCAUCCCGAACACAGAAGUUAAGCUCUCUUGUGCCGAGCAUACCUGGCUGGAGACGGCCCGGGAAAGUAGGUCCUCGCCGGAU
Molecule: ribosomal RNA, 117 nt
Filed under: Clostridiaceae bacterium
Lineage: Bacteria; Bacillati; Bacillota; Clostridia; Eubacteriales; Clostridiaceae
Source: RNAcentral